This 446-nucleotide long non-coding RNA is filed under the name Musa acuminata (dwarf banana). Its description in RNAcentral is "long non-coding RNA (MACU_LNC002036)". The record is from RNAcentral. Lineage: Eukaryota; Viridiplantae; Streptophyta; Magnoliopsida; Zingiberales; Musaceae.
AAAAUGUUGACAAAUAGUUAAAAAUUUUAGUAUCAUGUAUGAUAUCCUCGUAAUGUUAAUCGAUUUAUUCAAUAUCGUGCAUGAAUGAAUAUAAGGUUUUUGAAAAUGUGCAUAUUCUAAUUUGAAAAUAUGAUGAUGCACAAUUAAGAUUGAUACUUACCUUUGUCAUAAUUGAUGUAAAGGAUCUUCCCUUCUUUUUGACAAUGACAAAGGGGGAGAUAGCUAGCUUGCACAAGUCAAAAAGAUACAAAAACUUGAUUGCUAGCUUGCCUAUCUUAAGUAGCAAAGAUUGCUAACUUGCUUAUUUCAAGAAGCAAAAGUUGUCUUCUUGAACAUCACUAUCUUGCCCAUCUCAAGAAGCAAGACUUGCAACCUGCACAUUGCAAUAGGAAGUAAGAAUCGAUAGCUUACGCACUUCAAUAAGAAAGCUAUCUUGUAUUUGCUUU